GAAAAAGUUACCAAAACUCCAUCUUGACCGUCCCCUCCAUUUCUCAACUUCAGGUUCAACCGUCAGAUUAUUCCGUUUUUGCCCAUCACUUUCAGCUACAGUGGGGCCUCUCCUUCGUUUUUUAGCAACCGUUUUGGAGAGGAGAAAUGAGCUAGCCCCAGCUCUUUCCAACAAGAACUUCGAAGCUCGGAGGCUAUAGAGACUGAGGUUUCUUUACCCUUUAUUCCGGUUGCACUCCAGCGACUUCAGGCGAAGAGCCAACUAGUAACAGUUUCCAGAAUCUCUUCUUGGGUUAGUUUCUGAGAAAUAAAAUUUCCAGUGGGUAAAUUCUUGUCUUCUUAUUUAAUAUCAUUUUAUGUUCUCACUCUUUUCAAAAAUAAAAUGUUUUCAGAAUUUAAAAAAGAAUAAAAAGGCAACUUUUUAAGGAAUAAUAAUUUUUAAUUAAUGUACUUGACAUUAUAAUCAGUUUGGCUGUAUAGGGAAAAUGACUUAAUAUGGCAAUUCUAUCAGUAUAAUUGGUUAUCAUGUGAGCUGCUUUUGGAUACAUCUUCGUAGCUUCUAAUAUUUUCAUACAUUUUCUUGUCAUCCCACUCUAUAACUACUGCUUUUUCUCUUUUGAUGUUGGGAGAGAUGGCACACAGGAAGAGACUGAGACAGUUAUCUGGGAAUCUCUAAAACUGAAAAUUUGAGUUUUUUGUCUCUCUUUUUUUAUCAUCAAAAUAUAAGCAGUUUGGAGAGGUUGUUGGCCCACCCCUUCAAAGCUAUGGAGGUGGGUUCCAUUUGGAUGGUCCUGAUAUGCAUAUUAGGUGCUUUGGUUGCUCUGAAAAGGAUUCUACAGAGAGCUAAUGGGUGGCUCUAUGAAGCCAAACUGGGUGAAAUACAGUCUUCUCUGCCUCCAGGUGAUCUGGGUUGGCCUUUCAUUGGUAAUAUGUGGUCAUUUCUCAGAGCUUUCAAGUCCACUGAUCCUGAUUCUUUUAUGCGCUCUUUUAUCACCAGGUCAUUUCUCUUACCUUUCUUCAUUUAUUUUGUUAUUUUUUACAUAUUAUCGUAGUUCCUACAUGAUAACCAUUUCCUCUUCAUCUAAUUAACUAGAUCAUAUCAAUGCAUAAGUUUCUUCUGAAUUUGGUAAUUUAAUUCUAAAGUAGUUAGCUGACAAAUGAAUUCUUCAGGGUGGGAGAGCUGGCCUUUUGUUACUUUCAUUGCCCUUGUUAAUUUUAUCUUUUAAGCUUUUGCUAUUAUUGCUUGGAUUAAAAAUCUGAACUCUGGUCUGUGUAUCUUUUCCUUCCCUUCCUGUGACCCAUAAUUAGGUGACCAGAUAUUGUUUAUGCCUGUCAAUGCAUACUUCUUAGUUCUUUGCUCAUCUCAAUUCUGGAUCUAAUCUCUAAUCUCCUUAGCACUUGUUGAUGUCUAAAAAUAAAUUAAAAACCAAAAUGUUGAAUUAUGAGAGGCAUGGGAAUUGAAAAAAUUGCCCAGUCAAGGCAUUUUUAUGUAACCUGGUCUUACACAGUUACUGGUAAGGGAAAAUAUAACAUGAGAUGAUUACUGUAGUGUCAAAUUACAAAAAUUGAUAAGCCCCACAUAGUAGUCUAUACCUAAUGUUUGGUGGUGGAAUUGAUUUAAAUAGGGUGUUCCUGUUAAACUGCCUAUGCUAAGAAGGAGAGAAAAUAUAAAUGCCAAUUGUUGUUACUUUAACUUGAGGAAAUGUUAAUGGAAUUACUGUGUGUACUAUAAAUUCUGUUUCUUCAUAAGUGAAGUUUAGUGGUUGUCAAAUCAUGAUUCUAUACAAUUAAAACACAAUCCAAAAAUAUAUAUUCAUAUAUAAAAUGCUGUAAAUAAAUCACUUGGAGAUAGAUUAGUGGGCUGUUAACCAUUUUGAUAUUAAAGAUUUUGUGGCGUGGAUUAUAACCGACCAAUGUUGUCCUGUAUGCAUGUUAUAUUUGGAAUGAUUUAAGAAUAGAGACUUAUUAGCAAGUAGCAAUUAGUAAAGCAAGAUAUGAAAUGAAUGGUAAUUAUAAUCACAUGAACUGUUUCAAUUAUUAUUCAUAAUAUCCAAGGGAAUGUGGAUCCAAUCUAUGAUCUAUCCAGAGAUUUCCUUGCCCCACCCUCCAUUCCUUCAUGCCUCAUUGUGUGCAGCAAAAAGUAUUGGGCUCAAUGAUGGGCUUUCCAGCCCCAAGUUUGGAAAAGAAGUAGGGAUAUGUAUGCAACCGAUUGAGAUGAAUGAUCAAAACAAUUAAUGCAGAUAUGGACGUACUGGAAUCUACAAGGCCUUCAUGUUUGGGAGGCCCAGUGUGUUUGUGACAACGCCUGAAACCUGCAAAAGAGUAUUAAUUGAUGAUGAUGCAUUUAAGCCUGGUUGGCCAAGCUCCACCAUGGAGCUCAUUGGAAAGAAAUCCUUCAUAGGUAUUUCUUAUGAAGAGCACAAGCGUCUCCGACGGCUGACUGCAUCUCCUGUCAAUGGUCAUGAGGCUCUGUCUGUCUAUCUGCAUUACAUUGAAGAAAAUGUGAUAUCUGCUUUGGAAAAAUGGUCAAACAUGGGACAAAUUGAGUUCUUGACUGAACUCAGGAAAGUUACUUUCAGGAUCAUAAUGUAUAUCUUCCUUAGCUCUGAAAGUGAGCCAGUCAUGGAGGCUUUGGAGAGGGAAUAUACAGCACUUAACUAUGGGGUUAGAGCCAUGGCAAUCAAUCUUCCAGGAUUUGCUUACCACAAAGCACUCAAGGCUCGCAAAAACCUUGUGGCUGCAUUACAAUCUGUAGUAGAUGAGCGCAGAAAUCAAAGGAAGGGUGGUAUUUCAUCAAAGAAGAAAGACAUGAUGGAUGCUCUAAUGGAUGUUGAAGACGAAAAUGGUAGAAAAUUGAGUGAUGAAGAAAUAAUUGAUGUUCUGUUGAUGUACUUGAAUGCAGGCCAUGAAUCUUCUGGCCAUGUCACAAUGUGGGCUACAAUUUUCCUUCAGGAGCACCCCGAAUUUCUCCAAAAGGCUAAGGACGAGCAGAAGGAAAUCUUAAAAAGGAGGCCACUAACACAAAAGGGAUUGACACUUAAAGAAGUUCGAGACAUGGAAUACCUUUCUAAGGUGAUUGAUGAAACACUUCGUUUGAUAACAUUUUCACUUGUGGUUUUCCGAGAGGCAAAAGCAGAUGUCAAUAUGAACGGUGAGUUCAUGCUUUGCUUUUUUCUUUUCUUUUAAUAUUUUAUUCUUAUCUACACCAUCUCAUGUACAGAGUGCAGAUAUGAAUUCAUUAUAUUUAGUAGACAACAAGAGGAUUUUGAAAUGUGAUCACCACUACAAGAAAAGGUCCUUUGCAGCCAGAACAAUUUGUCCUAUGAAUGUCAUAACUUUGGCAUGAAAAAAACUUAUUCUCUAUCUGAAUAAAUUAAAGUUGUCUUUGAUUUAAUGAUUUGAAAUUGGCUUGGAAUUCAGGAUAUGUCAUCCCCAAGGGUUGGAAAGUUCUUGUAUGGUUCAGAAGUGUUCACUUGGAUCCUGAAAUCUAUCCAAAUCCAAAGGAAUUUAAUCCUUCCCGGUGGGAUGUAAGUGCUUUAGCUUUUGCACUUUUUCUUCCUUUAAUGAAUUACAUAUGGAUCUUAUUCAUGUUUAUCCAUUUGUUCUCAUAUACUUAACCUGUUCAUCUGCUUUAAUUUGGAUGUAUUAACCUGUUCAUCUGCUUUAAUUUGGAUGUAUUAACCUGUUCAUCUGCUUUAAUUUGGAUGUAUUAACCUGUUCAUCUGCUUUAAUUUGGAUGUAAUGUAGAAUUAUACAGCCAAAGCAGGAACCUUCCUUCCCUUCGGAGCAGGAAGUAGGAUGUGCCCUGGAAAUGAUUUAGCAAAGCUUGAAAUCUCCAUCUUUCUGCAUCAUUUUCUCCUUAAUUAUGAGUAAGCCCCAGCCCCUACUCCCACCUAUAUUAAUUAUCAGCGACAUUUUUGAGUCAUCCUUUCAGUUUUGUACAAGAUAUGUGGCCAAUCAUGGGAUGAAUUAAAAAACAAAAAGGAAAAAACAAAAGAAAAAAUAAGAAGAAUUUAUCUAGUUUCUCUGAGCCCCAAAUGCUAGAUAGACUUCACUCUUUGGCUUCUUUGCAUUCUUAUGGAGCUUAAUGGCCUGCUUGGAAUAUUCUUCUUUAAGGAUAUGCAAUAAGGGCCAGAUAGUGUUCAUGAUACAAUUUUUACAAAGCUAGCCCUCGAUUAUGAUAUGGAACCACCAAUUCUCAUAAAAAGAAAAAAAGAAGUUCAAUUUUUAGUUGCUAUUACUUGACAAUCCUGCAUAAACUUGAUUCUAACUACAACUAAGACGAUGAAUGGCAAUGACAAUAAUUCUGAUGGCAGCAAAGGAAAUUUUCUUUGAUAUUAGAUUCUGCUUUGUUUUCACAUCUUUUUCUGAUUACACAGGCUUGAACGUCUCAAUCCUGGAUGUUCAUUAAUGUACUUACCUCAUUCAAGACCGAAAGACAACUGCUUUUCAAGAAUCAAGAAAAUUCAAGAUUCACUUAUGAAGAAACAGAAAUGAAGAAACAACAAACAUUAAAUCCAUACAUAAAGGACAAGCCAACAUUGCAUACCUAAGGUUGGUUGGUUAUAUUGUUGUAUCCGCACCAUGAAAUCUUUAAUAUCAAAAUGGUUUGAAGCCCUCUAAUCUAUUUCCAGCUAUUUCUUUGC
RNAcentral lists this unclassified non-coding RNA (4645 nucleotides) under Hevea brasiliensis (rubber tree). The record is from RNAcentral. Lineage: Eukaryota; Viridiplantae; Streptophyta; Magnoliopsida; Malpighiales; Euphorbiaceae.